AACGCACCUUGCGCUCCCGGCAGAUCUAAUCUGGGGAGCAUGCCUGUUUGAGGGCCGCGAAUUGUUUCGAACGACAGCUUUCUUAUUUAGUUGAGAAAGCUGGCGGAUCGGUAUUGAGGGUCUUGCCAUCUUCCACGGUGGCUCCCUCGAAAUGCAUUAGCGCAUCCAUUCGAUAGGCAAGACGGACGAAAGCUCGUUAUUUCGCCCACGUCUUUCCCUGCCGGGUUUUGAUAAUACCAGGACUUCGGAGAGGAGAGGCGCAGGGUCGAGGAGCUGGACGCGACGUUUUGCUGGUUGGAGUGCUUCUGAACCCCGCCCAUGCCUCCCCUUCUUCGGAAGGAGAGGAAGGGAUCUAAUUUCAAUUCAUCGGCCUCAGAUUGGUAGGACUACCCGCUGAACUUAA
This 403-nucleotide unclassified non-coding RNA is filed under the name uncultured fungus. RNAcentral describes it as "partial contains 5.8S ribosomal RNA, internal transcribed spacer 2, and large subunit ribosomal RNA". Lineage: Eukaryota; Fungi. The record is from RNAcentral.